Molecule: long non-coding RNA, 930 nt
Organism: Myxocyprinus asiaticus (Chinese sucker)
Lineage: Eukaryota; Metazoa; Chordata; Actinopteri; Cypriniformes; Catostomidae
Exons: 2
Source: RefSeq, a predicted model, not a curated record
CCCAUUCUUAAUCCAUAGGGUUUAAUAUGACGUCGGCCCACCCUUUGCAGCUAUUACAGCUUCAACUCUUCUGGGAAGGCUUUCCACAAGGUUUAGGAGUGUGGAGUCCGGGUUUGGCGGUUGCCAGGAGAACGGUACUUGUCUAACUGCAUUGUGCCAACUGUGAAGUUUGGUGGAGGGGGGAUUAUGGUGUGGGGUUGUUUUUCAGGAGUUGGGCUUGGCCCAUUAGUUCCAGUGAAAGGAACUCUGAAUGCUUCAGCAUACCAAGAGAUUUUGGACAAUUCCAUGCUCCCAACUUUGUGGGAACAGUUUGGGGAUGGCCCCUUCCUGUUCCAACAUGACUGCGCACCAGUGCACAAAGCAAGGUCCAUAAAGACAUGGAUGAGCGAGUUUGGUGUGGAAGAACUUGACUGACCUGUACAGAGUCCUGACCUCAACCCGAUAGAGCACCUUUGGGAUGAAUUAGAGCGAAGACUGGGAGCCAGGCCUUCUCGUCCAACAUCAGUGUCUGACCUCACAAAUGCGCUUCUGGAAGAAUGGUCAAAAAUUCCCAUAAACACACUCCUAAACCUUGUGGAAAGCCUUCCCAGAAGAGUUGAAGCUGUUAUAGCUGCAAAGGGUGGGCCGACGUCAUAUUAAACCCUAUGGAUUAAGAAUGGGAUGUCACUUAAGUUCAUAUGCGUGUAAAGGCAGGACACGGAUGGCCUGGGGAAAGAAGCUCCUCAUUCUCUCUGUUUUGGCCAUCAGGGAGUGGAAGCGUUUCCCUGACCGCAACAAAGAGAAGAGUCCAUUGUUAGGAUGGCUGAGGUCUUGUGAUUUGUUUGUUUGUUGUUUUGGGGCAAUAUAGCCUAAAUUUGGAAAUUGCUUUUGGUUUUAUUUUAUUUUCUAUACAUUUUAUAAAAUAUAUUUUAUAAUAAACAGUAACACAUA